RNAcentral lists this ribosomal RNA (488 nucleotides) under uncultured bacterium. RNAcentral describes it as "partial 16S ribosomal RNA". It matches the Rfam family "Bacterial small subunit ribosomal RNA", at positions 29 to 523 of the family's 1533-position model. The record is from RNAcentral.
AGUGAACGCUGGCGGCGUGCUUAACACAUGCAAGUCGAACGAGAACGGAUUAUAGCUUGCUAUAAUUGUCAGCUAAGUGGCGCACGGGUGAGUAAUGUAUAGGUAAUAUGCCUCUUACUAAGGGAUAACAAAUGGAAACGUUUGCUAAUACCUUAUACUCCUUAUUAACAUAAGUUAAUAAGGGAAAGAUUUAUUGGUAAGAGAUUAGCCUGUAUUGUAUCAGUUAGUUGGUGGGGUAAUGGCUUACCAAGACUAUGACACAUAACUGGUUUGAGAGGAUGAUCAGUCACACUGGAACUGAGACACGGUCCAGACUCCUACGGGAGGCAGCAGUGGGGAAUAUUGCACAAUGGACGAAAGCCUGAUCGAGCGACGCCGCGUGAUGGACGAAGUGCUUCGGCACGUAAACAUCCUUUAUGAGGGACGAAGUUUAUUGACGGUACCUCAUGAAUAAGGGGCUCCUAACUCUGUGCCAGCCGCCGCCGUAA